AUGGGUAUGGGUUCCAAGAUGAAGCGUAGCAGCAGCAGCCUUGUUGUAUCGUGUGUACUCCUCGGCCUAGCACUGCUCCUCGUCGGGGCGGCCGCCACCAGGAACAGCCCAAGCUCCUCCUGCAAAGCGCAGUGUAGCGGACGGGAGGACUACAAACCGUGCCACGUCGCGUGCCUUUGGGGCCUGCGUCUGGGAGAACCACCAAACUGCCACCUGCGCUGCCGCCACGCGAAAUCCUACGACGCCUGUUUCGAACAGUGCAAAAAAGAACAAGAAGCAAUAGGAGGAAGAGUUGCGCUACUGGUGGCGGCGGCAGAGGGGCAAAAGCAAGGACAAGAAGAAAGAGCAAAAGGAGCAGCUGGGCUCCUGGCGAUGCCGACCGAGCGCGCUGAAUGA
RNAcentral lists this ribosomal RNA (396 nucleotides) under Triticum aestivum (bread wheat). RNAcentral describes it as "partial small subunit ribosomal RNA". Lineage: Eukaryota; Viridiplantae; Streptophyta; Magnoliopsida; Poales; Poaceae. The record is from RNAcentral.